GGUAAUUUAGAUUCAACAUUAGGGUUAGUUUUGAUUUUUAAGAAUGGGAUAUGUGGUUAUUUAGAUGCAAAUUUAGGGCUGCUUAAUUUAUUUUUUUAUAAUAGUAUAGGUGGUUAAUUUAUAUGAAGAUUAGAAUGUUAUUUUUUAUGUGGCAGAGAUAUGUAGUUUAGAUAUAGAUUAGGGGUACCUUAGACUAUUUUCACAAUGACAAAAAUAAGUAAUUUUCUAGGAAAUACCCAUGACUAUAUUUUUAGUCUCUACCGGAUCGACGGUAAGAUGUUUAUGAUUUUUAUAAGAAGUUUUAAAAAUUAUAUUUUCUAAAAAAACACGUCUCGUGGCAUGCGUGCAUUUAUGAAUCCUCAUGCAAUAGACUGACUGAAAAAACAUAGCAUCACAAGCAGUAGCGAUGAUAUCA
Molecule: long non-coding RNA, 415 nt
Filed under: Setaria viridis
Lineage: Eukaryota; Viridiplantae; Streptophyta; Magnoliopsida; Poales; Poaceae
Description: long non-coding RNA (SVIR_LNC002775)
Source: RNAcentral